GAUGAACGCUGGCGGCGUGCCUAAUACAUGCAAGUCGAGCGAACAGACGAGGAGCUUGCUCCUCUGACGUUAGCGGCGGACGGGUGAGUAACACGUGGAUAACCUACCUAUAAGACUGGGAUAACUUCGGGAAACCGGAGCUAAUACCGGAUAAUAUAUUGAACCGCAUGGUUCAAUAGUGAAAGACGGUUUUGCUGUCACUUAUAGAUGGAUCCGCGCCGCAUUAGCUAGUUGGUAAGGUAACGGCUUACCAAGGCAACGAUGCGUAGCCGACCUGAGAGGGGGAUCGGCCACACUGGAACUGAGACACGGUCCAGACUCCUACGGGAGGCAGCAGUAGGGAAUCUUCCGCAAAGGGCGAAAGCCUGACGGAGCAACGCCGCGUGAGUGAUGAAGGUCUUCGGAUCGUAAAACUCUGUUAUUAGGGAAGAACAAAUGUGUAAGUAACUAUGCACGUCUUGACGGUACCUAAUCAGGAAGCCACGGCUAACUACGUG
This 497-nucleotide ribosomal RNA is filed under the name uncultured bacterium. Its description in RNAcentral is "partial 16S ribosomal RNA". It matches the Rfam family "Bacterial small subunit ribosomal RNA", at positions 28 to 507 of the family's 1533-position model. The record is from RNAcentral.